AGCCUCCAAUUCCCUUACCAUUCAGACCUGAGCACUGGUCUGAGAGGUUAGAAAACGGAGAAAGAGUGCGUUAGAAAUGUACUCCCGGCUUUGUAGCACACAGGCUAGUUUCAAACAGUU
RNAcentral lists this small nucleolar RNA (120 nucleotides) under Echinops telfairi (small Madagascar hedgehog). RNAcentral's name for it is "Small nucleolar RNA SNORA61 (ENSETEG00000026252.1)". The record is from RNAcentral. Lineage: Eukaryota; Metazoa; Chordata; Mammalia; Afrosoricida; Tenrecidae.